This is a long non-coding RNA of Bufo bufo (common toad), 156 nucleotides long. RefSeq lists it as uncharacterized. The transcript has 3 exons. Lineage: Eukaryota; Metazoa; Chordata; Amphibia; Anura; Bufonidae. The record is from RefSeq and is a predicted model, not a curated record.
AUUUUUGUACCAUAAAGCUACUUUCACACUUGCGGCAGCAGGGUCCGGCAGGGGAACAGCCUGCCGGAUCCAUGUUAACGUUAGCCCACCAUGCCUCUGGAAGUCCACUCCGACCUCAUUCACUAUAAUAAGGGCCAGAGGUCCGGCCGCAACAUG